UACGUAGGUGGCGAGCGUUGUCCGGAUUUACUGGGCGUAAAGGGAGCGUAGGCGGACUUUUAAGUGAGAUGUGAAAUACUCGGGCUCAACUUGAGUGCUGCAUUUCAAACUGGAAGUCUAGAGUGCAGGAGAGGAGAAUGGAAUUCCAUGUGUAGCGGUGAAAUGCAUAGAUAUCACGCAGAACUCCGAUUGCGAAGGCAGCGUACCGGCAUCCAACUGACGCUGAGGCACGAAAGCGUGGGGAUCAAACAGG
Molecule: ribosomal RNA, 253 nt
Filed under: uncultured bacterium
Lineage: Bacteria
Description: partial 16S ribosomal RNA
Rfam family: Bacterial small subunit ribosomal RNA
Source: RNAcentral